Molecule: ribosomal RNA, 617 nt
Filed under: Luteibacter sp. So3Pw_2946
Lineage: Bacteria; Pseudomonadati; Pseudomonadota; Gammaproteobacteria; Lysobacterales; Rhodanobacteraceae
Description: bacterial SSU rRNA
Rfam family: Bacterial small subunit ribosomal RNA
Source: RNAcentral
AUGCCGCGUGUGUGAAGAAGGCCUUCGGGUUGUAAAGCACUUUUAUCAGGAGCGAAAUCUGCAGGGCUAAUACCCAUGCAGUCUGACGGUACCUGAGGAAUAAGCACCGGCUAACUCCGUGCCAGCAGCCGCGGUAAUACGGAGGGUGCAAGCGUUAAUCGGAAUUACUGGGCGUAAAGCGUGCGUAGGCGGUUCGUUAAGUCUGUUGUGAAAGCCCCGGGCUCAACCUGGGAAUGGCAAUGGAUACUGGCGAGCUAGAGUGUGUCAUAGGAUGGUGGAAUUCCCGGUGUAGCGGUGAAAUGCGUAUAGAUCGGGAGGAACAUCAGUGGCGAAGGCGGCCAUCUGGGACAACACUGACGCUGAGGCACGAAAGCGUGGGGAGCAAACAGGAUUACAUACCCUGGUAGUCCACGCCCUAAACUAUGCUAACUGGAUGUUGGUCUCAACUCGGAGAUCAAUGUCCAAGCUCAGGCGUUAAGUUCGCCGCCGGGGGAGUACGGUCGCAAGACUGAAACUCAGAGGAAUUGACGGGGGCCCGCACAAGCGGUGGAGUAUGUGGUUUAAUUCUAUGCGACGCUGACAACCUUACCUGGCCUUGACAUGUCUGGAAUCCCUGU